Molecule: long non-coding RNA, 3381 nt
Organism: Thunnus maccoyii (southern bluefin tuna)
Lineage: Eukaryota; Metazoa; Chordata; Actinopteri; Scombriformes; Scombridae
Exons: 3
Source: RefSeq, a predicted model, not a curated record
AUGAACCAAGAUCUGAAGUUAUAAGGAGCGUCUUUUUCUAUAAUUUCAAAGUGGAUUUACAGAUGCUUCUCCUUAACAAGAUCAGAGAAACAGCUGGUUUUCCUAAUGUGUGUAUGUCUGUUCAUUCUGAUUUGACAGAUUUAUGAUUUUGACAUUAAGGGAUAUGAAUUUUGACACAAAUCGAGUCCCUCCGGUGCAAAGGAUUAAAGAUUUGAGAUCAUUAUCGUUUUUAUCAUAAUCUCGAUCUUCCUCACAUAGAGGGGGUUUGGGGUGCUACCCCGGAUUCACGAGAGUGUUUUUCCUCUUGAUUCCUCAGCUGAAGUGGUGUGGUCAGCUUUAGCUUACCAGUCUAUUGUGACAGCUAGAAGACUGCAGAAGAAGACAAAGAACAAUAGGUGCAGUAGGAUAGUGUAGGCUAUGAGUGAGUCUGGAACAAAUGCUGCUUUUCUGGACCAUUGGACAGUAGCAUAUUUUGUGUGGGAUGGAGCUUACUGUUGCUUUCAGGGUUUAUGAAGUGAACAAUAGGGACUCCAGUCUGGGCUCUUAAUUUAUAUGUCUGUUUUUCUGCUCUCUCUCAUAGAUAGAUAGAUAGAUAGAUACUUUAUUUAUCCUGAAGGGAAAUAUAGAUGAUCUCAUCAUCCAUCACCUUUCAUUAAAAAUUUCAUACUGGUUUUCCAGCUCCCUUGGUAAAGUCAAGAUUUUCACUGGAUACUGGAAACAAUGACUGAUUUCCCCUCCAGUUGACCACAUAUUCCACACGCAAACACACAAACACUUCAAUCCUCUGUGGGUUUAUAGGUUGCCUUUUAAAUCUGCCCUCUGUGGUCUUGAGUAUGUACAGAGCUUCAAAUAAAUGGACUGCCUCUCUCUGAAACAAUGAGAAUUUCCUCAGCUCUGACAAAGAUCAAUCUUGGCCGCAAGCGAGGGAAACACAGUCUGUCUGCCAGGGAGAUUUUAAAUGGAGGGACAUCAGUCCAGAGCUGCAGCAAGAUAAAAACCUCCAUAGAGUCCAGACAGUGGUGGUGGUAGCUGAUGACUUCUGCUGAGACCGAUAAGGUUGAUGGAGUGAUGCACUGAUGAAUCUGCAAAGACUGGGAGGUGAUGGGGAGCUGGUGGGGUGCACAAAACAGCAUCGUGAAAGCACUAAGGCAUAGAGGGAGAAGACAUGUUUAAAAAAGACAGCUGCAAUAUGAUAGGCUUACAAUGAAGGUGUGUUACUGUGCUAUUGGUUAGAUGUGACAAGCUGAUGUGAACAGCUGACGCCUUAACUGAUGCCCAGGUGAUUGACAGCAAGGAAAUUAUGAGUGAGCAUGUUUGUGGGAUGGGAAUGACAGAUUGAGAAAAAAGACUACAGACCCAAUGCAGCAGCUAACAUAACUCUUUAGACAACUAUGGCUUUGAGGAAAAACUGAAUUGCAUGUGCAUUUAGGGGUUGACAUAAUAACUGGUACAAACAAGCAGGAGUGUUUUGAUCAUCAACCACAAACGAGAGCUGAAUAUGGAUGCAAGGUGCCCUACAACCUUCAUCUCCCUCUGAAGAAUGAGGAAUCCCUUCACCUGUGGUGUGAAGCUUUAAAUCUGAAGAAACCACCAAAGCGACCAUAUGUUUGUUCUUUUCAUAUCAUUGACACAAGCCCUACGGAAUACCACCCAAUACCGGAGAAGUGGCUGAGCUACGAAGCCCCAAUAAAAACUCCAAGGCGACGUCUUGUCAAGAGAUCAGCAGCCACAGAUGACAGGCACUGUGAUGCAGAUGCUGACACUCGGUGGGAGGUUCAGGCACUGAUGGAUCACAGCUACACAUCAGGAGAAAAGAAGAAGCUUGUAUGCGACAGAGAAACACAAUGUGGUGGUGAAGAACCCUUUGCCCAUGCCAUCCUGAAGAAUGACACCACAUCUGUGCUGUACACAGGCCUUUCUCUCACUGUCUUCUUCGAUCAUGUUAAAUAUCUGCAGUAGUUCUAUAAAGCAAAUUUUAAGAUGCACAUAAUGGAUCAAAUAUUGAUGACAAUGAUGAAGCUGAAGCUGAAUCUACUCCAGGGUGAUCUUGCAGAACACUUUGCUGUGUCCCAGGGGGUAGUGAGCAGGAUCCUGUCCUAUUGGAUAGACACAGUAGGGGAACACAUGAGGAUCUACAUUCCUUGGCUGCCACAGGAGACAGUCCGGAGCACGAUGCCUCAGUGCUUCAGGGAGAAGUUCCCCAACACCACCUGCAUCAUUGACUGCAAUGGGACCACCCCGCAGAAACCACACAAUCUUGACUCCAGAGGUGAGUCAUAAAGCCAUUAUUCAAGCAAUGCUCUUCAGUAUUUAGUUGCUGUUGCCCUGUGUGGGCUUGUUAUGUUCAUUUCUCCUGCUUAUGGAGGCAAUUGUAGCGCAAGUUCAUCAUUCAAGAGUCUAGCUUCCUGGAGUACCUGCAUCCUGGUGAUGAAGUGAUGGCAGACAGAGGCUUUACCAACAGAGAUCUGCUGUUUGAGAGAAGGGUUAAUCUUGUUUUACCAGCGUUCACUCAGAAAGGAGGGCAGUUUUCUGACAAGGAUGUUACUGGCACAAGGGGGAUUGCAAAUGUGCUCAUACAUGUGGAAAGAGGUAUCAGGACGCUCAAGGUGUUAAGAAUAAUCUCCCAGACUGUAUCUAUCAACCUGAGACACAAAAUGGACAAGAUCCUCCGAAUCUCUGCAGCACUUGUGAACAUGCAGGGUGAGAUCAUCCAUGAGGAUGCUGAUUGAGGAUGGCAGUUCACAUUUUGAAAAGAUCCUGAUUUCCACUGAACCUGGAUAUUUGUCCUGCUGAGUGGACCUGCUUAGAUGGCCUGCAGUGCCUCGAUUGUGCUAUCAACUGUCUGUUUUGAUUUUAGUUGCUAAUGGAAUUUGUUGUAUUUACUCAUAUAUGGAGUCCGUGGAUGUGCUCAUAAACUGAACUACAUUUAAGGAAAGAACUAAGAAAAGCUUACUAUUGUAUGUAAAUAAAGUGUCAAGAAGAUAUAUUUCACUUAUAGAUUUGCCUUUUGCUUUUAAAUAAACUGUAAACCAUUACAAUUGUAAUGCACAAAGAAGAGGGUGUGUCUUGGAAGAUCUCAAGUUUUAUACUAAACAGUUCUUGUGUUUGCACCUUGAUGCUUUUACUUUUGUAAUGACUUUUCAAGUACUGAGUGAUAUGGAAUGAUUUUGAGACUAUUUAAAUGUUUACAGAUACAAAUAACUUCCUGUUUAACUUGUGUCCAACUAAAAUAGCUUGUUGUCUGACAUUCCGACAAUGACAAUGACCGACAAUUUACCACCACAGAGGAAGAUGAUUUGUUCAAAGGUGGAGAGUUCCAUACAGCAGGUUUAACCCUUACAUACUGUUGAGGUAAAAAAAAUUUAAUCCCUUCUCUCUUUU